CCUGAUAACUGAGUGGGUAAAGAAUCCGCCUGCAAUGCAGGAGACCAGGUUCGAUUCCUGGGUCAGGA
This 68-nucleotide transfer RNA is filed under the name Bos taurus (domestic cattle). It matches the Rfam family "tRNA". Rfam says of the family: Transfer RNA (tRNA) molecules are approximately 80 nucleotides in length. Lineage: Eukaryota; Metazoa; Chordata; Mammalia; Artiodactyla; Bovidae. RNAcentral also lists the same sequence under 1 other name. The record is from Rfam by way of RNAcentral.